ACAGACCCUAAGAGUACUGCUUCGAAGAGGUUAAGUUUGCAACAAAGGGCAGGUAGUCUGAACAUCAAAAGUAUUUUUGUGAAUUAAAGAAAACCAGAUACCCCAAGCAUCCGGGUCUUUUCCAGUGAGCCAGCACUUCACAUCAGGUGGCCUCUGAGGGGGAGCCAGUAGAUGCCAGGAGGCUGGGACCCUACACUAUGCCAUGAAAGGCCACCUAUGGGGUUGGACUAUGAUAGGAGCAAGAAAUAAGCCUUUAUGAGGGAUACAGAUCAUUGCACUAUAGGCAAAUGAAGAUGCUUCUCUUCAAGGUUGUGAGAGGGGAAAAAGGAUUUUAUAUUUUACUACUGUUCCUAUUUUAUCAAUGGAGAAACCCAGGAGUUGAGCUCAUUUAAUUGCUGGAGAUCCACUGACGGAAUGGAGAGAGCCAAGGUCAGAGGAACCAGUAGAUUGAAAACUCAUGUGUUUGCUGCACUCAAAAUGUGGGCUGAUGUAGAAAGGAAUAAAAUAAUGGCAUUUGCAGCAACACGGAUGGACCUAGAGAUUAUCAUACUAAGUGAAAUAAGUCAGGUCCAUAAACAGGUCCCUAACAAAUAUAGAAGGAGAGAAGGAUGGAGGGAGGGAUAUUGGAGAGGAAGAAAUGAAGGAAAGAA
Long non-coding RNA from Bos taurus (domestic cattle), 650 nucleotides. NCBI's taxonomy places the organism in Eukaryota, Metazoa, Chordata, Mammalia, Artiodactyla, Bovidae. The record is from Ensembl.